Molecule: ribosomal RNA, 468 nt
Filed under: uncultured bacterium
Lineage: Bacteria
Description: partial 16S ribosomal RNA
Rfam family: Bacterial small subunit ribosomal RNA
Source: RNAcentral
GACGAACGCUGGCGGCGUGCUUAACACAUGCGAGUCGAACGGAAAGGCCCUGCUUUUGUGGGGUGCUCGAGUGGCGAACGGGUGAGUAACACGUGAGUAACCUGCCCUUGACUUUGGGAUAACUUCAGGAAACUGGGGCUAAUACCGGAUAGGAGCUCCUGCUGCAUGGUGGGGGUUGGAAAGUUUCGGCGGUUGGGGAUGGACUCGCGGCUUAUCAGCUUGUUGGUGGGGUAGUGGCUUACCAAGGCUUUGACGGGUAGCCGGCCUGAGAGGGUGACCGGCCACAUUGGGACUGAGAUACGGCCCAGACUCCUACGGGAGGCAGCAGUGGGGAAUAUUGCACAAUGGGCGGAAGCCUGAUGCAGCAACGCCGCGUGCGGGAUGACGGCCUUCGGGUUGUAAACCGCUUUCGCCUGUGACGAAGUGUGAGUGACGGUAAUGGGUAAAGAAGCACCGGCUAACUAUGUG